UACGUAGGGGGCUAGCGUUAUCCGGAUUUAUUGGGCGUAAAGAGCGCGUAGGCGGCUUGCUAAGUCAGAUGUGAAAACCGGGGGCUUAACCCGCGGCCUGCAUCUGAAACUGGCAGGCUUGAGUCUGGUAGAGGAAAGUGGAAUUCCUAGUGUAGCGGUGAAAUGCGCAGAUAUUAGGAGGAACACCAGUGGCGAAGGCGGCUUUCUGGGCCACGACUGACGCUGAGGCGCGAAAGCUAGGGGAGCAAAC
Molecule: ribosomal RNA, 250 nt
Filed under: uncultured bacterium
Lineage: Bacteria
Description: partial 16S ribosomal RNA
Rfam family: Bacterial small subunit ribosomal RNA
Source: RNAcentral